Molecule: ribosomal RNA, 492 nt
Filed under: uncultured bacterium
Lineage: Bacteria
Description: partial 16S ribosomal RNA
Rfam family: Bacterial small subunit ribosomal RNA
Source: RNAcentral
AGUGAACGCUGGCGGUAGGCCUAACACAUGCAAGUCGAACGGCAGCACAGUAAGAGCUUGCUCUUACGGGUGGCGAGUGGCGGACGGGUGAGGAAUACAUCGGAAUCUACCUUUUCGUGGGGGAUAACGUAGGGAAACUUACGCUAAUACCGCAUACGACCUACGGGUGAAAGCAGGGGAUCUUCGGACCUUGCGCGAUUGAAUGAGCCGAUGUCGGAUUAGCUAGUUGGCGGGGUAAAGGCCCACCAAGGCGACGAUCCGUAGCUGGUCUGAGAGGAUGAUCAGCCACACUGGAACUGAGACACGGUCCAGACUCCUACGGGAGGCAGCAGUGGGGAAUAUUGGACAAAGGGCGCAAGCCUGAUCCAGCCAUACCGCGUGGGUGAAGAAGGCCUUCGGGUUGUAAAGCCCUUUUGUUGGGAAAGAAAAGCAGCAGGUUAAUACCCCGCUGUUCUGACGGUACCCAAAGAAUAAGCGCCGGCUAACUUCGUG